This 253-nucleotide ribosomal RNA is filed under the name uncultured bacterium. RNAcentral describes it as "partial 16S ribosomal RNA". It matches the Rfam family "Bacterial small subunit ribosomal RNA", at positions 524 to 776 of the family's 1533-position model. The record is from RNAcentral.
UACGGAGGGUGCAAGCGUUGUUCGGAUUUAUUGGGCGUAAAGGGCGUGUAGGCGGUUCGUUAAGUCUGAUGUGAAAGCCCCGGGCUCAACCCGGGAAGUGCAUUGGAAACUGGCGAACUUGAGUACGGGAGAGGGCAGUGGAAUUCCUAGUGUAGGAGUGAAAUCCGUAGAUAUCAGGAGGAACACCGGUGGCGAAGGCGGUGGUCUGGGCCGGAACUGACGCUGAGGAGCGAAAGCGUGGGGAGCGAACAGG